AUGAGAGAAUUCCACCCGAAAUGGGUCGAGUGGGUCAGUAAAAUUUUAGUGGGGGGUACAGUUAGUGUGAAGUUGAAUAAUGAGGUGGGCCCAUACUUUCAAAGCUCGAAAGGGGUGCGCCAAGGGGACCCUUUCUCACCAUUUCUUUUCAAUUUAGCUGCUGAUUGUUUGACAAAGAUGAUCCUUAAAACCCAACAAAACGGCUUGUUUAAAGGUCUGGCCUCGGACUUAAUUCCAAAUGGAGUAGCUAUUCUCCAGUACGCGGAUGACACAAUUUUAUGCUUCGAGGAUGAUAUCAGGAAUGCUCUGAACAUUAAGUUGCUUUUAUACCUCUUUGAGGUCAUGUUAGGUUUAAAAAUUAACUUCCUGAAGAGCGAGAUCUUCUCUGUCCGUGCGGACGAUGAGACUAUGCAUAAGUAUGCUGAGAUGUUUAACUGCCAGAUAGGUAAUUUCCCUAUGAAAUACCUAGGCAUGCCUGUCAAGUAUGCUGGUUUGAAAUGUGGUGAUUGGAGUUUUGUGGAGGACAAAUUCACCGUGCAUGGUGAAAACUGGAUUAGUGAAGUACUAUCUAUGGGAGUGAGGCUUAUUAAAGUGAAUGCGGUACCGUCCCAUAUCCCAACGUUUUACAUGUCCAUGUUCCUUUUAAACAAGACUACUCUAGAGAGGUGGGACAAGCCGAGAAGGAAAUUCUUCUGGCAUAGGAAAGGAAAGAAAAAAGGAUAUCAUAUGGUCAAAUGGGACCGCGUUUGUCGGUCUAAAAAGAAAGGAGGCCUAGGGGUUAAGGACCUGAGAAAACAAAAUAUAAGCUUACUGGUGAAAUGGUGGUGGAAGUUAGAUAAAAAUAAGGGCCUCUGGCAGGAUAUAGUUAAGGCUAAGUACCUCAAAAAGUCCUCAGUGGCCAUGGUGGAGGCAAGGAACAAUGAUUCCCCGUGUUGGAAAUCCCUCUUGAGAGUGAAAAAUUUAUAUAUGAAGGGCAGAGGUGUCAAGCUGAAUAAAGGGGAUGUGGCCAGACUAUGGUUCGAUGAACUGGAAGGAAGGAUACCAUUUAAAGAAAAGUUUCCAGUACUUUUUGAGAUAUGUGUUGAACAAAACUGUACUGUUGAUAGAAUAGAAUGUCUAAAUCAUAUCACCUCCUUUAGGAGGAGGAUGUCUCUUGAGAUGAGGAAUCAAUGGGAUGAAAUGAAAAGGGAGGUUCUGGCUCUCAAACAAAAUGAUUUACCUGAUGAAAUUUACUGGAAGUUUGAUAAUUCUGGUAUAUAUUCAACCAAAUCAAUGUACAGAUGGUUGGAAAAUGAUAUUGCUGGUUCCAAUUUCAAAUGGAUUUGGGAUGCUAAACUCCCCUUGAAAAUACAAAUCUUCUUAUGGCAAGUGGGGCAAAAUGCCAUUUUAACUAGAGAUAAUAUGAAAAAAAGAGCUUGGCCCGGAAACCCCUGUUGCUCCUUUUGCAACCAAUUGGAAACAACCUCGCACUUGUUGUUCCUGUGUCCGGUGUCUAGAGUAAUCUGGAGAACUGUAGGGGCUCUUCUUGGGACGGAUUGUUGUCCUAAUUCCAUCUGGCAGUAUUACGACUGGAUGCACAGCUUCCUACCUGGUUUUGAAAAAAAUUAUACUGUGGGCUUGGCAGCAAUAUGCUGGGCCAUAUGGCUAGCCCGGAACAGAGCUACUUUUGAAAGCAAAUGGAUUAACUCUCCUUUCGAGAUCGUGUUCACAGCUUGCGCCUUUCUAAUAUAUUGGGCAGGUCUUCAGAAACCUGGGAUGGAAGAGAUGGUGAAGAAGGGAGCGGAGAUGCUGAAAGCGAAUACUACUCAGAUGAUGCUGCUGUGUGGACCUCCUCCGGCGCCAAACAUGGACGGGCGCGACUGA
This 1863-nucleotide ribosomal RNA is filed under the name Triticum aestivum (bread wheat). Its description in RNAcentral is "partial small subunit ribosomal RNA". Lineage: Eukaryota; Viridiplantae; Streptophyta; Magnoliopsida; Poales; Poaceae. The record is from RNAcentral.